This 257-nucleotide non-coding RNA is filed under the name unclassified sequences. RNAcentral describes it as "ARRPOF RNA". It matches the Rfam family "ARRPOF RNA". The record is from Rfam by way of RNAcentral.
AAAAAUCUUACUAACUAUAUUUGUUUUACAAUUUGUACUAUAGAUAAAAUCUUAAGUACAGCCACUCUGCUCGAAGUGGUACAGCGGUCUAGCGACUGGUGUUAUGAAUUGAAGCAAGGUGCGAAACGACCUAUAACAGUUUUGGAGGUACUCUGUGCGGGUAUUCUAACAACGAUAUAAUUUAGAAAGUAAGCUAAAUCGGGACUUCUGGGGCGGAGUACAGAAGAAUAGACGAACUAGUCUAUGUUAGAAUAAGU